RNAcentral lists this ribosomal RNA (253 nucleotides) under uncultured bacterium. RNAcentral's name for it is "partial 16S ribosomal RNA". It matches the Rfam family "Bacterial small subunit ribosomal RNA", at positions 524 to 776 of the family's 1533-position model. The record is from RNAcentral.
UACGGAGGGUGCGAGCGUUGUUCGGAAUCACUGGGCGUAAAGGGCGUGUAGGCGGUCCGCUAAGUCUGAUGUGAAAGCCCGGGGCUCACCCCCGGAAGUGCAUUGGAAACUGGCGGACUCGAGUCCCGGAGAGGAGAGUGGAAUUCCUGGUGUAGCGGUGAAAUGCGUAGAUAUCAGGAGGAACACCGGUGGCGAAGGCGGAUCUCUGGGCCGUAACUGACGCUGAGGAGCGAAAGCAUGGGGAGCGAACAGG